GGGCAGAGGAACUUACUUGAAGCUGAACUGCAGGUGAGCUUAGAGGCUCCUCUCACAGAGAAGAGGAAAUGCUUAAAGUCUGUGUUGUACCCAGUGCUGGCCUAGGAUUACCAGGUCAGCCCAUCUUUUUUUGAGGUUUGCUAUAUAUUAUGUGGAGAAUAAGUAAGAUUCUAGGGAACUUGGAGCAGUCAUCUGGUGCUUCUUUCCACUUCUCUCAGUGUUUGUUAUUUGUGGCCCUAAUUGCUGCUGAUCUUCUGGGAAAGGCAGUCUGGAGUUCAUAUGCCAUGUCUGUGUUCCUCCUGCCAUCUUCAUGGGGGCCAGAGAUUGGGUCCUUCGCUGUUCCAGAAGCUGGACACAGAACAUCAAAGAGGCACAAACAAUGCUACUGGGGGACUUAGAGAUCUGUGGAACACAGAGGGAAAUGAACAGCAGGAUAUCGGGUACAACAAAGUUAUGAGACAAUGAAUGUAACAGAGCGCUUUAAGGUAUGACAUUUUGCCCAACCUUGAGGGACCCCCUCCUCAGAAAACAAGUGCCUAUGCAAAAAAUAGGCAAAAAAAAAAUAGGUGGGCACUAGAUCUCUGAUUUCGAGGUUAUGAGGAUUUCGAGGGUUAGGAAACUCCUUCUACCAAUGCAGUUUGGCAACUUAACUAUUUUUAGAAUUGCCUAAAAGACUGGGAAUUUCAAUGAAUUGCCCAGCACCAUACAGCCAGCAAAGACCUGUAUCUUAUUUAUGUAUGUGUUGUUUCCCCCAUUAGAACGGAAGUAUGGACCCUUUCGUUUUGUAUCGCUAGCGUUCGGCUUAGUGCAUGGU
This 814-nucleotide long non-coding RNA is filed under the name Phascolarctos cinereus (koala). Its description in RNAcentral is "lncRNA (ENSPCIG00000031516.1)". Lineage: Eukaryota; Metazoa; Chordata; Mammalia; Diprotodontia; Phascolarctidae. The record is from RNAcentral.